GACGAACGCUGGCGGCGUGCCUAAUACAUGCAAGUCGAACGAACCGCGACUAAGUGCUUGCACUAAGUCAAGGUGAGUGGCGAACGGGUGAGUAACACGUGGGUAACCUACCUCAUAGUGGGGGAUAACAGUCGGAAACGACUGCUAAUACCGCAUAGGACAUAGGAUCACAUGAUCCAGUGAGGAAAGGUGGCGCAAGCUAUCGCUAAGAGAUGGACCCGCGGUGCAUUAGCUAGUUGGUAGGGUAAAGGCCUACCAAGGCGAUGAUGCAUAGCCGACCUGAGAGGGUGAUCGGCCACAUUGGGACUGAGACACGGCCCAAACUCCUACGGGAGGCAGCAGUAGGGAAUCUUCCGCAAUGGACGCAAGUCUGACGGAGCAACGCCGCGUGAGUGAAGAAGGUCUUCGGAUCGUAAAGCUCUGUUGUUAGAGGAGAACAGCGCAUAGAGUAACUGCUAUGCGUGUGACGGUAUCUAACCAGAAAGCCACGGCUAACUACGUG
RNAcentral lists this ribosomal RNA (502 nucleotides) under uncultured bacterium. RNAcentral describes it as "partial 16S ribosomal RNA". It matches the Rfam family "Bacterial small subunit ribosomal RNA", at positions 28 to 507 of the family's 1533-position model. The record is from RNAcentral.